This 497-nucleotide ribosomal RNA is filed under the name uncultured bacterium. RNAcentral's name for it is "partial 16S ribosomal RNA". It matches the Rfam family "Bacterial small subunit ribosomal RNA", at positions 28 to 507 of the family's 1533-position model. The record is from RNAcentral.
GAUGAACGCUGGCGGCGUGCCUAAUACAUGCAAGUCGAGCGAACGGAUGAGAAGCUUGCUUCUCUGAUGUUAGCGGCGGACGGGUGAGUAACACGUUGAUAACCUACCUAUAAGACUGGGAUAACUGCGGGAAACCGGAGCUAAUACCGGAUAAUAUUUUGAACCGCAUGGUUCAAAAUUGAAAGACGGUCUUGCUGUCACGUAUAGAUGGAUCCGCGCUGCAUUAGCUAGUUGGUAAGGUAACGGCUUACCAAGGCAACGAUGCAUAGCCGACCUGAGAGGGUGAUAGGCCACACUGGAACUGAGACACGGUCAAGCCUCCUACGGGAGGACGCAGUAGGGAAUCUUCCGCAAUGGGCGAAAGCCUGACGGAGCAAAGCCGCGUGAGUGCUGAAGGUCUUCGGAUCGUAAAACUCUGUUAUUAGGGAAGAACAUAUGUGUAAGUAACUGUGCACAUCUUGACGGUACCUAAUCAGAAAGCCACGGCUAACUACGUG